CGGCGGAACACGUGAAAUUCCGUCGGAAUCCGGGAGGACCAUCUCCCAAGGCUAAAUACUCCCUAGUGACCGAUAGUGAACCAGUACCGUGAGGGAAAGGUGAAAAGCACCCCGGAAGGGGAGUGAAACAGUUCCUGAAACCGUGUGCCUACAAGUAGUUAGAGCCCGUUAAUGGGUGAUAGCGUGCCUUUUGUAGAAUGAACCGGCGAGUUACGAUUUGUUGCAAGGUUAAGCGGAAAAAGCGGAGCCGUAGCGAAAGCGAGUCUGAAUAGGGCGCAUAAGUAACAGGUCGUAGACCCGAAACCAGGUGAUCUACCCAUGUCCAGGAUGAAGGUAAGGUAAUACUUACUGGAGGUCCGAACCCACGCACGUUGAAAAGUGCGGGGAUGAGGUGUGGGUAGCGGAGAAAUUCCAAUCGAACUUGGAGAUAGCUGGUUCUCUCCGAAAUAGCUUUAGGGCUAGCCUCGAGGUAAAGAGUCAUGGAGGUAGAGCACUGUUUGGACUAGGGGCCCUUCUCGGGUUACCGAAUUCAGAUAAACUCCGAAUGCCAUGUACUUAUACUCGGGAGUCAGACUGCGAGUGAUAAGAUCCGUAGUCGAAAGGGAAACAGCCCAGACCACCAGUUAAGGUCCCCAAAUAUAUGUUAAGUGGAAAAGGAUGUGGGGUUGCUUAGACAACCAGGAUGUUGGCUUAGAAGCAGCCACCAUUGAAAGAGUGCGUAAUAGCUCACUGGUCGAGUGACCCCGCGCCGAAAAUGUACCGGGGCUAAACAUAUUACCGAAACUGUGGAUGAACCUCUUUAGAGGUUCGUGGUAGGAGAGCGUUCUAAGGGCGGUGAAGUCAGACCGGAAGGACUGGUGGAGCGCUUAGAAGUGAGAAUGCCGGUAUGAGUAGCGAAAGAAGGGUGAGAAUCCCUUCCACCGAAUAUCUAAGGUUUCCUGAGGAAGGCUCGUCCGCUCAGGGUUAGUCGGGACCUAAGCCGAGGCCGAUAGGCGUAGGCGAUGGACAACAGGUAGAGAUUCCUGUACCAGUGCUAAUUGUUUAACCGAUGGGGUGACACAGAAGGAUAGGGAAUCGCACGAAUGGAAAUGUGCGUCCAAGCAGUGAGUGUGAGAAGUAGGCAAAUCCGCUUCUCGCGAAGCAUGAGCUGUGAUGGGGAAGGAAAUUAAGUACGGAAGUUCCUGAUUUCACGCUGUCAAGAA
Molecule: ribosomal RNA, 1202 nt
Filed under: Listeria monocytogenes
Lineage: Bacteria; Bacillati; Bacillota; Bacilli; Caryophanales; Listeriaceae
Description: partial 23S ribosomal RNA
Rfam family: Bacterial large subunit ribosomal RNA
Source: RNAcentral